CAGGGAGACAACAAAAUGUUAAAUAUUAAUUUUGUCACCUUAGGUCGAUCGGUAUCUCACAUUCUUGAUUUAUUUGAGAAUUUUAUUUCCUAAGUUUUUUCUAGGUCACACCCAUUAUUUUUCCUGGGCCAUUAGCUCAGGUGGUUAGUGCGCACCCCUGAUAAGGGUGAGGUCCCUGGUUCAAGUCCAGGAUGGCCCAUAUCUCUAUGUUGGGGGUAUAGCUCAGUUGGUAGAGCGCCUGCUUUGCAAGCAGGAUGUCAGCGGUUCGAGUCCGCUUACCUCCACUGAUCACCACCUCUUCCAUAAUUUAUAGAAGGGAAAUGUUUUGAGUUGUGAUCAAAUUCUGAACGAAUCUAGCUUCCUAAUAUUUUUAUUAAGAUGCUGGACUCAUUGAAUUAAUUUCAUUGUUUUCAGAGAACCUUGACAACUGCAUAGAUUUUUUUAAAGACAAUAAGCAUCUUAAUGAUGCAGAUUUAUUAUUUGUGCGAAUGCAUUAAUAACAAUUCUAUUAAGCUGAUGCUUCAAAUUUUGAAGUUAUU
Molecule: transfer RNA, 539 nt
Filed under: uncultured Prochlorococcus sp.
Lineage: Bacteria; Bacillati; Cyanobacteriota; Cyanophyceae; Synechococcales; Prochlorococcaceae
Description: partial 16S-23S ribosomal RNA intergenic spacer
Rfam family: tRNA (bases 212-284)
Source: RNAcentral